RNAcentral lists this ribosomal RNA (672 nucleotides) under uncultured archaeon. RNAcentral's name for it is "bacterial SSU rRNA". It matches the Rfam family "Archaeal small subunit ribosomal RNA", at positions 774 to 1448 of the family's 1478-position model. The record is from RNAcentral.
UUGGGGUGGCUACGGGCCACUUCAGUGCCGCAGGGAAGCCAUUAAGCUCGCCGCCUGGGGAGUACGGCCGCAAGGCUGAAACUUAAAGGAAUUGGCGGGGGAGCACCACAAGGCGUGAAGCUUGCGGUUCAAUUGGAGUCAACGCCGGGAACCUUACCGGGGGCGACAGCAGUAUGAUGACCAGAUUGAAGGUCUUGUUUGACAAGCUGAGAGGAGGUGCAUGGCCGUCGCCAGUUCGUGCCGUGAGGUGUCCUGUUAAGUCAGGCAACGAUCGAGACCCGCACCCUUAGUUGCUACUGAGGAAAUUUUCCAAGGGGCACUCUAGGGGGACUGCCGUCGACAAGACGGAGGAAGGAGCGGGCUACGGCAGGUCAGUAUGCCCCGAAUCCCCCGGGCUACACGCGAGCUGCAAUGGCAGGUACAAUGGGUUCCGACCCUGAAAAGGGAAGGCAAUCUCGAAACCCUGCCUCAGUUUGGAUCGAAGGCUGGAACCCGCCUUCGUGAAAAUGGAAUGCCUAGUAAUCGCGUGUCAUCAUCGCGCGGUGAAUACGUCCCCGCUCCUUGCACACACCGCCCGUCGCUCCAUCCGAGUGGGGUUUGGGUGAGGCGUGGUCUUCUUGGCUGCGUCGAAUCUGAGUUCCGCAAGGAGGGAGAAGUCGUAACAAGGUAGCC